GCGUGAGUAACCUGCCCUGGAGUGGGGGGACAACAGUUGGAAACGACUGCUAAUACCGCAUAAGCCCACGGAUCCGCAUGGAUCUGCGGGAAAAGGAUUUAUUCGCUUCAGGAUGGACUCGCGUCCAAUUAGCUAGUUGGUGAGGUAACGGCCCACCAAGGCGACGAUUGGUAGCCGGACUGAGAGGUUGAACGGCCACAUUGGGACUGAGACACGGCCCAGACUCCUACGGGAGGCAGCAUG
RNAcentral lists this ribosomal RNA (243 nucleotides) under uncultured bacterium. RNAcentral describes it as "partial 16S ribosomal RNA". It matches the Rfam family "Bacterial small subunit ribosomal RNA", at positions 115 to 353 of the family's 1533-position model. The record is from RNAcentral.